Molecule: transfer RNA, 70 nt
Filed under: Camelus bactrianus (Bactrian camel)
Lineage: Eukaryota; Metazoa; Chordata; Mammalia; Artiodactyla; Camelidae
Also listed under: 2 other names
Rfam family: tRNA
About the family: Transfer RNA (tRNA) molecules are approximately 80 nucleotides in length. Their secondary structure includes four short double-helical elements and three loops (D, anti-codon, and T loops).
Source: Rfam by way of RNAcentral
UGGGGUAUAGCUCAGUGACAGAGUGUGCUUAGCAUGCAUGAGGUCCUGGGUUCAAGCCCCAGUACCUCUG